GAAUAUUGGACAAUGGGGGAAACCCUGAUCCAGCAAUGCCGCGUGAGUGAUGAAGGCCCUAGGGUUGUAAAGCUCUUUCGGUGGUGACGAUGAUGACGGUAACCACAGAAGAAGCCCCGGCUAACUCCGUGCCAGCAGCCGCGGUAAGACGGAGGGGGCUAGCGUUGUUCGGAAUUACUGGGCGUAAAGCGCACGUAGGCGGCCUUUCAAGUCAGAUGUGAAAGCCCCGGGCUUAACCCGGGAACUGCAUUUGAAACUAGAAGGCUUGAGGCCGGGAGAGGAUAGCGGAAUUCCCAGUGUAGAGGUGAAAUUCGUAGAUAUUGGGAAGAACACCAGUGGCGAAGGCGGCUAUCUGGACCGGUACUGACGCUGAGGUGCGAAAGCGUGGGGAGCAAACAG
Molecule: ribosomal RNA, 399 nt
Filed under: uncultured bacterium
Lineage: Bacteria
Description: bacterial SSU rRNA
Rfam family: Bacterial small subunit ribosomal RNA
Source: RNAcentral